AGUGCUAAUACCGCAUGAUGCAGUUGGGUCGCAUGGCUCUGACUGCCAAAGAUUUAUCGCUCUGAGAUGGCCUCGCGUCUGAUUAGCUAGUAGGCGGGGUAACGGCCCACCUAGGCGACGAUCAGUAGCCGGACUGAGAGGUUGACCGGCCACAUUGGGACUGAGACACGGCCCAGACUCCUACGGGAGGCAGCAUG
Molecule: ribosomal RNA, 197 nt
Filed under: uncultured bacterium
Lineage: Bacteria
Description: partial 16S ribosomal RNA
Rfam family: Bacterial small subunit ribosomal RNA
Source: RNAcentral